RNAcentral lists this ribosomal RNA (253 nucleotides) under uncultured bacterium. RNAcentral describes it as "partial 16S ribosomal RNA". It matches the Rfam family "Bacterial small subunit ribosomal RNA", at positions 524 to 776 of the family's 1533-position model. The record is from RNAcentral.
UACGUAGGGACCGAGCGUUGUCCGGAAUCAUUGGGCGUAAAGAGCGUGUAGGCGGCCACUUAAGUCCUGCGUGAAAUCUUGCGGCUCAACCGCAAGCGGUCGUGGGAAACUGGGUGGCUAGAGUGCGGGAGAGGAGAGUGGAAUUCCUGGUGUAGCGGUGAAAUGCGCAGAUAUCAGGAGGAACACCGGUGGCGAAGGCGGGUCUCUGGGCAGUAACUGACGCUGAGGAGCGAAAGCGUGGGGAGCGAACAGG